This 75-nucleotide transfer RNA is filed under the name Candidatus Jorgensenbacteria bacterium RIFCSPLOWO2_01_FULL_45_25b. RNAcentral's name for it is "tRNA-Cys". It matches the Rfam family "tRNA". Rfam says of the family: Transfer RNA (tRNA) molecules are approximately 80 nucleotides in length. Their secondary structure includes four short double-helical elements and three loops (D, anti-codon, and T loops). Lineage: Bacteria; Candidatus Joergenseniibacteriota. The record is from RNAcentral.
GGCCAGGUGGCGAAGAGGCAACGCGGCGGUCUGCAAAACCGCUAUGCGAGGGUUCGAAUCCCUCCCUGGCCUCAA